Molecule: ribosomal RNA, 440 nt
Filed under: uncultured bacterium
Lineage: Bacteria
Description: partial 16S ribosomal RNA
Rfam family: Bacterial small subunit ribosomal RNA
Source: RNAcentral
CCUACGGGAGGCAGCAGUGGGGAAUAUUGCACAAUGGGGGAAACCCUGAUGCAGCGACGCCGCGUGAGUGAAGAAUUAAUUCGGUAUGUAAAGCUCUAUCAGCAGGGAAGUAAAUGACGGUACCUGAGUAAGAAGCCCCGGCUAACUACGUGCCAGCAGCCGCGGUAAUACGUAGGGGGCAAGCGUUAUCCGGAUUUACUGGGUGUAAAGGGAGCGUAGACGGCAGGGCAAGUCAGGAGUGAAAGGGCGGGGCUCAACCCCCGGACUGCACUUGAAACUGUACGGCUGGAGUGCAGGAGAGGUGAGUGGAAUUCCUAGUGUAGCGGUGAAAUGCGUAGAUAUUAGGAGGAACACCAGUGGCGAAGGCAGCUUACUGGACUGUAACUGACGUUGAGGCUCGAAAGCGUGGGGAGCAAACAGGAUUAGAUACCCCAGUAGUC